This 511-nucleotide long non-coding RNA is filed under the name Sus scrofa (pig). RNAcentral's name for it is "lncRNA (ENSSSCG00050011907.1)". The record is from RNAcentral. Lineage: Eukaryota; Metazoa; Chordata; Mammalia; Artiodactyla; Suidae.
CCGUCAAGCACUUCCGCCUCCAGGAAGGCUGCGGCCCCGCCCCAGGGUCUGGCCAGAGGCCAGAGAGCAGAGUCUGUGUGGAAAGCUGCUGAUGGACUCUGGGUUCGAUGGCCUAACACGAGCUGGUGCCACACUCCGGGAGGUGACAAGGAGCUAAUUACAUGGAGGAAAGAGAGCCAGCAGAAGAGGUCAUUGCAAAGGGUAGAUUUCUUCCUGAUUAACUGCGCGGGGAGACACAACCGGAAGGAACAGUACAGGGCAGUGUUUGUGCCAUCGGAGAUAAGCACCACGUAUCUGGCGAGGCGGGGUCAAGUGUACGGUGGGAAAGGAGGCCUCACAGGGUGGCAGGAGCAGAUGCAGCGCCCUGUCCACACACACCAGAAAGCUUGAAGGGAAAGGCGGGAAGAGCCAGGAGGCUGGCCACACAUCCCCAGGUGCCAUUGACUGCUUGGGUGAACUUGGGCAUGAAACCUAACUGCUGGGGCCACCAGUCAUCAGUGGACAUGGGGCU